Molecule: long non-coding RNA, 571 nt
Filed under: Capra hircus (goat)
Lineage: Eukaryota; Metazoa; Chordata; Mammalia; Artiodactyla; Bovidae
Description: lncRNA (ENSCHIG00000002554.1)
Source: RNAcentral
GAGCUGAAGUCUCAUUUCCUGGAAACACAGGACUGGACUGCAGCCAUCCCUCAAAUGAGCCCCGACGGAGAAGACUUGGAGACGUGAGCUGGGGCUUCCGGUGGAUGCAUAUUAAACGCCUCGGACUAAAAGCUGAGGUCAUGGAUUACUUUCUCAUUGCUGUCAAAGAUGUGCGUGGAUCCCAGGAGUCCCAGUGGACCAACCACCGCCAGCUGUGGACUGCCCGCCGGCUCCACACCGCAGCUCAGAUGUGCUGCUUUCCAGGUGUUUAGUCCACGACUACAGAGCUGCUAUCAGGAUGGAUGGAUGAAUGGACAGGGGCUGAUUAACAGCCAGGAUGGGAGCUCCUGGGACGAUCUUCAGGGGAAGGUGAUGCUUGUCCUGAGCACCAGCCCUGGCAGGUGUCAAAAUCACUGGAGCCGUAUGUUUGGUAGUGCUAUGCCCUGUGCCCACCACGAACCGCAUGCUCCCCAGAACCUGGACUGCAGUUAUGGAACCAGGAUUAGACCAGAGCCAGUCAAAACCUUUCAUUAACUGGAACCAGAGGUUGAGAACUGACUCACCACAAAUG